This 253-nucleotide ribosomal RNA is filed under the name uncultured bacterium. RNAcentral's name for it is "partial 16S ribosomal RNA". It matches the Rfam family "Bacterial small subunit ribosomal RNA", at positions 524 to 776 of the family's 1533-position model. The record is from RNAcentral.
UACGGGGGGGGCAAGCGUUGUUCGGAAUUACUGGGCGUAAAGGGCGCGUAGGCGGCCCGCUUAGUCGGACGUGAAAUCCCUCGGCUCAACCGAGGAACUGCGUCCGAUACUGGCAGGCUUGAAUCCGGGAGAGGGAUGUGGAAUUCCAGGUGUAGCGGUGAAAUGCGUAGAUAUCUGGAGGAACACCGGUGGCGAAGGCGGCAUCCUGGACCGGUAUUGACGCUGAGGCGCGAAAGCCAGGGGAGCAAACGGG